UACAGAGGGUGCAAGCGUUAAUCGGAGUUACUGGGCGUAAAGGGCGCGUAGGUGGUUGAAUAAGUGAGAUGUGAAAUCCCUGGGCUUAACCUAGGAACUGCAUCUUAUACUGUUUGACUGGAGUACUGUAGAGGGUAGUGGAAUUUCCGGUGUAGCGGUGAAAUGCGUAGAGAUCGGAAGGAACACCAGUGGCGAAGGCGGCUACCUGGACAGAUACUGACACUGAGGCGCGAGAGCGUGGGGAGCAAACAGG
This 253-nucleotide ribosomal RNA is filed under the name uncultured bacterium. Its description in RNAcentral is "partial 16S ribosomal RNA". It matches the Rfam family "Bacterial small subunit ribosomal RNA", at positions 524 to 776 of the family's 1533-position model. The record is from RNAcentral.